UUUAAAUACCGGUUGCCAAUCAGGGUACCAGGGCGUUUAAACCUUGGCCUUCCCGAGAGACGUAAACUGGUAUGGGGUUUGGAAGUAUUUUGAGCCCCGACUCUGAGGGAGUCGGCAACUAUGGGUCGUUGGCAAGGGCUCGCUAAGGAAGUGAUUCAAGUAGUUAAUGAAGAAAAAUUGAGCCCCUACUCUGGGGAGUUGACGACUAUGGGUACUGUUAAGAACGUAGUUUCUGCUCGAGAACACGGGAGACGCCGCCAAGCAGCCGUUGACCGUCCAUCUGCAACUCUGGUGCGCCGAUCAAACCUAAGUUGAUGAAACCUGUAACUGCUGGUGACCCAAGCAAUAUCUGAAUCAAUCCGUUGUUAAAUGUUGAAUGAGUACAAGAAUCACACAGCAUAAAAUCUUCCACCAUGUCAAUUUUUAGGUUUAGCAAUGGCGAUUGUACUGGGACCCUCUUCCAGUUUUCGCCCUCGCCAACGUCUUCAUCCAGAUGGUGGUCGCUGUAUCCUCCUAACUGGUGGAACACUUUGUCGGUUUUCGCCUCACUCUUUAAGAUGGGAUAAGCCAUACGCUUGCCAUCGCUGUGGGCAACAAGCGAGCGUUUAUGGCACGCCAUCUCUUACUGUCUCUCAGAAAACAAAACCCUAUUUACAUGCACAACAAACUGCACAAAUAACAAACCCACAAACAAUGGGCAAUUGGAUGUGCUCGAUUGGGCGAAAUGACUUCAUACGUCAAACCCAAAAGAGUUCAAAAACCGAUCAGAAAUUGUUUAGGGAUGGCCUUCUUCUAGAACCUUUUUUGCGCUCUUCUACUCGGUGUGUUAUAAGUGGGGGAUGUGACGCGCUUGGGCCCACGAUGUCGGUAACCGAACGGGAACGAACGGGAACAACCACAGGAGUUGCACAUAUGCAGAGUGUAUUAGAAAUCGGAGCAAUGUUUCAACAUUUUGGGGCCUUGGCAGGCAAUGCACCGUAUCUUUUCUUGAUGACCUUCGACACACAGUAUGAUGGCCGAGUUUGCCAUAUUACAUAACAGAUAUAAGACAACUACCGCUGCAUUAGUGAGGACAGGCAGUUCCGGUCCGACUUCCACAGCAUCGAUCGAUGUGAUACGAUGGUGACCACCCGAUUAUUGUAUGACCACACAAAAGGCGCACGCUCUUUCUCCGGAUCAAGCGGCGAUUUCCUUCGCGUGCGGCAACAACGAAUGGGAGCGACACGAGCGCCUAUGGACGAAGCAAAAAUCGUCCGUUAAUAUUUCAGUGGAUUGCGCGGCAGGGCAAGACGAUGCUUGAGAAAAGCAGCACAGAAAUUCGGCUGGAUUCGUCGAUCCUUCAAACGACGAGGUCUCGACCUCGACUACGGGACCAAUGAACCAAUAGAGUCCAAUGUACCCAGCUUUAAUACCAUCCGACUAAAGCGGAAAGCACCGGCGCGGUAACAUAAAGGGAACGAUGCGAUUGCAAACUACUUCGACACGCCGCGCUCAGUCGGUGGAUUCGUCAAUCGCGUAUUUAUUGUCUCUGAUAGAGCUGGAAACUCCGACGCUGGUUGGUGGAGUCAGAGAACGACCUACGACAACGAGAACACCUCGGCGCAGUGGCUGCGCGAGAUCGUCUUGCGGCCACAGAAAGUAAACGCGCGAAAGAAGAGCGCAUUCGGGGAAGGUGCGCGACAAGAGAGAGCAGCUCGACCGGCAAGAAGUGGCGAAGAUUUAUCUAUUUUGGCCUCCCGUUAUUAUGACAUGGCCAGAUUCACAAAGUUUCUCCAAUUCACUCCGUUCCUGGCUAAAAGGAAACUUAAAUAGAUGGCAAUUUAAACAGAACACAGGAAAACAUAACAUAGUACAACCGAACCACAGAAAAGGAAAUCAUGUGUUUCAAGCAAGAUAGGGCCACCAGCGCAAGAAAAACUUACAGAGAGAACAAUUUAGAAGACAACUUCAUUUGGGCAACCCACAUAGCAGCGAUCCCAACAUUAGUUCUGUUUCAUUGGGUUAUAGGUAAGCAGGAAAAAACACAUGCAAAGAAAACAGAAACCAUCGUAAAAGCCCGUAUAGGUUCUUCCUUUAACCGAAUGUUUGCCAAUACAAUACAUGAUACAAAUUCUCCACUGUGCGCUGGCCAGAAAAGACAGCGACGUACGAAAGUGUGGAGAUGCAGGAGAGGUUCAACGCACUUAUGUAAAAAUGAUCGAUUAAAAUAGAACAAUGUAGAU
Molecule: long non-coding RNA, 2222 nt
Organism: Anopheles bellator
Lineage: Eukaryota; Metazoa; Arthropoda; Insecta; Diptera; Culicidae
Exons: 3
Source: RefSeq, a predicted model, not a curated record